RNAcentral lists this small RNA (1328 nucleotides) under Amanita thiersii. RNAcentral describes it as "eukaryotic LSU rRNA". The stretch from base 1 to 378 matches the Rfam family "Eukaryotic large subunit ribosomal RNA", at positions 3019 to 3401 of the family's 3401-position model. Lineage: Eukaryota; Fungi; Basidiomycota; Agaricomycetes; Agaricales; Amanitaceae. The record is from RNAcentral.
GUAAUUGAACUUAGUACGAGAGGAACCGUUCAUUCAGAUAUUUGGUAUUUGCGCCUGUCCGAUCGGGCAAUGGCGCGAAGCUAUCAUCUGCUGGAUUAUGGCUGAACGCCUCUAAGCCAGAAUCCGUGCUAGACACGAUGAUGUUGGUCCCGCACAUAAGACACGAGUUGAAAUAGAGCAUUUGCUCAUGAACCACAUCAGGUGGAUUAGAUGGUCAGAGUGGAUAUACUCUGGCUGUUCAUCCACGCAUUGCAAUCACUAUAUGGGCGGGGGUGAAUCCUUUGCAGACGACUUGAAUGGGAACGGGGUACUGUAAGUGGUAGAGUAGCCUUGUUGCUACGAUCCACUGAGGUUAAGCCCUUUGUUCUAAAGAUUUGUUUACCUUUCUUACUCUUCAGGGCAGGUCCCACCAGUCCAAAGGACACAAUGCUCACUACGUACCAAGAUCUUUGGCAAAAGAUCUUAUUUUGUGAGCGGGGUAAGGUCUGAGUAUGAUCAUCUCCCUUGUGAUGGACUCUAGCAGGGUCUGGUCCUAAGUGGCCAAGCGGCAUACUAGAAAGACAGCCCUUGGGGCUUUGAAAUAGGCCGUGGAGAUGGGAUGGCACACAUCCUUUAGUGCACUUUGUGACGCACAGCACUAGCUGUGAAACUGGAUUCAGACUACUCUUGGACUGGUGGUUCAUUCAUAAUCUUAAUGUAAGUCAGUUCCAUUUUGAAUGACUUUGGUCAAGAUGACCAUUCGUUCUCUUCCCCAUCUGACACGACGGUGCUGAGGGGAUAAGGGAUGGGAUCAAUAGAUCCCUUUUACAUUGUGCACUUGCCAGUGCCACUUUGCCUGAACUAUUAUAUUGAUAGUGUUUGUAAGCGGAAUACUGAUUGAUGCUUUUUGAACAGGGUGUGUAUCAGAUUUCGUGUUGAUUCUAAUAGAGGAUGAGGACGUCCAUUCAUUCGCAGUUUCCACUCUAGCACCCUGUGUUGAACCCAUUGAUAACACUGGGGUGCAAUGAGGGACUCUAAUGACCUUCCUUUGGAUGUCUGAUCUCCAUGCCAUCUUGGUUUGAAUAGAUGCUAACAACAUUUUAUUUGUAGGUCUAAUGAACAAAGAAGGUCUUUUUUGAUUGUGCCACGUAAAGAAUCGUGAUCACAGCUCACAUACAGGGAGAUGACUCCCAACUCUUAGCUGUGGGGAAAGUCCCCGGAGAGCGACUGUCUAAUAAAGCAGACAUUAAGUUACUCAUAGACAUAGUUAUACGAUUGUAGGCCUGCUAAGCAAGCCUUUAACACAAUGGGGCUCACUCUUAUUGUGGCACAUGGAAUGGGUUUAUAAG